UGAGGAAUAUUGGUCAAUGGGCGCAAGCCUGAACCAGCCAUCCCGCGUGAAGGAUGAAUGUACUAUGUAUUGUAAACUUCUUUUCUGCAAAGAGAAAGGGCACUACGUGUAGUGUUUUGACGGUAUUGCAGGAAUAAGCAUCGGCUAACUCCGUGCCAGCAGCCGCGGUAAUACGGAGGAUGCGAGCGUUAUCCGGAUUCAUUGGGUUUAAAGGGUGCGUAGGCGGCUUUUUAAGUCAGUGGUGAAAUCCUGCGGCUCAACCGUAGAACUGCCAUUGAUACUGAGAAGCUUGAAUGUAAUUGAGGUAGGCGGAAUGAGUAGUGUAGCGGUGAAAUGCUUAGAUAUUACUCAGAACACCGAUUGCGAAGGCAGCUUACCAAGUUAUGAUUGACGCUGAGGCACGAAAGCGUGGGGAUCGAACA
This 422-nucleotide ribosomal RNA is filed under the name uncultured prokaryote. RNAcentral's name for it is "bacterial SSU rRNA". It matches the Rfam family "Bacterial small subunit ribosomal RNA", at positions 355 to 774 of the family's 1533-position model. The record is from RNAcentral.